CCUGUUUUCACGCUUUGGGGUUUAGGACCAAGGCAAAGAGCUUUAGUGUACAGGUCAGGUAGAAAGGCUGUUGAUGGAGGUAGUCAUGAAGAGUGGCCACACAGGAGUAAGGGAUACUGAGUGAGAAAAAAAAAUCGGGGAACUCUGAGAUUGCCUGAAACAGGGGUUUAGAGACCACACCCUGGAGCCAGACUGCCGGACUCCACUGAUUCCCAACUGCAUGAGGAGACAUUGGCUUUAUUUUCCAUGGAGGUGACUUACGAUUCCUACUGCAAACUACUGGAAAAGAAGACGGCUUUACACACCCCUUCCAAGGAGCAACUGCUUGUACCAUCCUGAGACUAGAACCAGGGCCACCACUUCUCACAGGCCAAGUGUCACCUGGAGUCUCUAAGCUGGAGCUUCUCUGUAUGUAGGAGAAACUGCCUGCCAGCUUACCCAACCCGUAGUCACUCUGUCCAAACCAGCCCACAUGAGCAUGCCCGGCAGCAGUUUCUCCCUGGGCCAACCUAAGGCUUGCUGCUACACCCAGAGACUGAUGAGGCAGAGACACCCAACUGGAGAUGCCAAUGAGAGAAGGACAACACAGCAGAGUCAGCCGCCUAAGCCAAUGGGACCUUGGGAGGGGACAUAUAGGCAAGCUUGAUUUCUUCAAUAAAUGAUUUGGCUUUUGCUAUUCCCGG
RNAcentral lists this long non-coding RNA (683 nucleotides) under Cricetulus griseus (Chinese hamster). Its description in RNAcentral is "lncRNA (ENSCGRG00015032919.1)". The record is from RNAcentral. Lineage: Eukaryota; Metazoa; Chordata; Mammalia; Rodentia; Cricetidae.